CCAUGUGCAUGUUCCCCAGGAGGUCAUUCUUCCCUGGAACUAUCCAAGUGACACAGAGGAGCAAAAGGCUCUGUCCCAUGAUGUACAGUCCCCUUCCACAGUGCUGGAGAUGAAGCGGUGCCCUGUAUCUGCACCUGCAUAUUCAUGUAUCUUCUCUGAGUCCUGUGGACAAUGACUGAGGAGACAAACCAUGCAGGAAAAAAUA
Molecule: small nucleolar RNA, 205 nt
Organism: Cynocephalus volans (Philippine flying lemur)
Lineage: Eukaryota; Metazoa; Chordata; Mammalia; Dermoptera; Cynocephalidae
Product: small nucleolar RNA SNORA73 family
Exons: 1
Source: RefSeq, a predicted model, not a curated record